This 717-nucleotide long non-coding RNA is filed under the name Pan troglodytes (chimpanzee). RNAcentral describes it as "lincRNA". The record is from RNAcentral. Lineage: Eukaryota; Metazoa; Chordata; Mammalia; Primates; Hominidae.
GUGCACUGGCGGGCCCUCCCCUCGGGCGUUGCCUCCCACCCACGCCCGGCGGCACCGCACCCCGAGGCGCUUCACGUCACGGAGCUGCUAGGAGACGGGCGGGGCUCCGGUUCCGGACGGAAUCUCACUCUGUCACCCAGGCUGGAGUGCAGUGGCACAAUCUCAGCUCACUGCAACCUCGACCUCCCAGGUACAAGCAAUUCUCCUGCCUCAGCCUCCCAAGUAGCUAGGAUUACAGAUGGAGUUUUGCUCUUGUCGCCCCAGCUGGAGUGCAGUGGUGCGAUCUCAGCGAUCUCAGCUCACUACAACCUCUGCCUCUUGGGUUCAAGCAGUUCUCCUGCCUCAACCACCUGAGUAGCUGGGAUUACAGGCGCCUGCCACCACGCCUGGCUAAUUUUUGUAUUUUUAGUAGAGAUGGGGUUUCACCAGGUUGGUCAGUCUGGUCUCGAAUUCCUGACCUCAGGUGAUCCACCCACCUCGGCCUCCCAAAGUGCUGGGAUUACAGGCGUGAGCCACCAUGCCCAGCCUACACUUGGGCUUCUUAGGCACAAGAUCCAGUAAGCCCUCCCUCCUCCUCCCCACCCCUUUUUUCUUUACACUAGUGUUUUCCGUAAUCCUGCAACAGAAAGAGUCCUAACUGAUAUAUUUGUGACCAUUUCUAAAUCUCCAAAAUGUAAAAUUAUACAAUUAAGAAUUAAAAUAAUUUUUAAAAACCAA